UUAAGUUAACAAGGGCGCAUGGUGAAUGCCUUGGCACUAGGAGCCGAUGAAGGACGGGACUAACACCGAUAUGCUUCGGGGAGCUGUACGUAAGCUAUGAUCCGGAGAUUUCCGAAUGGGGCAACCCAGCAGUUUUAAUCAACUGUUACCACUAGAUGAAUUCAUAGUCUAGUUGGAGGUAAACGCUGUGAACUGAAACAUCUCAUUAGCAGCAGGAAUAUAAAGAAAUUUCGAUUCCCUAAGUAGCGGCGAGCGAACGGGGAACAGCCCAAACCAAAGUGCUUGCACUUUGGGGUUGUAGGACUGAACAUUUGAGUUACCAAAGAACUUGAUAGUCGAAGGAUUUGGGAAAAUCCGCCAUAGAUGGUGAUAGCCCAGUAGAUUAAAUCAAAUUCUCUCAGUUCAGGAUCCUGAGUACGGCGGAACACGUGAAAUUCCGUCGGAAUCCGGGAGGACCAUCUCCCAAGGCUAAAUACUACCUAGUGACCGAUAGUGAACCAGUACCGUGAGGGAAAGGUGAAAAGCACCCCGGGAGGGGAGUGAAAUAGUUCCUGAAACCAUGUGCCUACAAUAAGUCAGAGCGCGUUAAUGCGUGAUGGCGUGCCUUUUGUAGAAUGAACCGGCGAGUUAUGAUCCCGUGCAAGGUUAAGACUAAAAAGUCGGAGCCGUAGCGAAAGCGAGUCUGAAAUGGGCGUUUUGAGUACGAGGUUAUAGACCCGAAACCAGGUGACCUAUCCAUGUCCAGGUUGAAGGUGCGGUAAAACGCACUGGAGGACCGAACCCGUGUAAGUUGAAAAUUGCUGGGAUGAGGUGUGGAUAGCGGUGAAAUUCCAAACGAACUUGGAGAUAGCUGGUUCUCUCCGAAAUAGCUUUAGGGCUAGCCUCGGAAUUAGGAUCAUGGAGGUAGAGCACUAUUUGGACUAGGGGCCCGUCUUGGGUUACUGAAUUCAGAUAAACUCCGAAUGCCAUUGAUUCAUAUCCGGGAGUCAGACGAUGAGUGAUAAGAUCCACCGUCGAAAGGGGAACAGCCCAGACCAUCAGUUAAGGUCCCUAAAUGUAUGCUAAGUGGAAAAGGAUGUGGAGUUGCAUAGACAACUAGGAUGUUGGCUCAGAAGCAGCCACCAUUUAAAGAGUGCGUAAUAGCUCACUAGUCGAGUGAUCCUGCGCCGAAAAUGUACCGGGGCUAAGCAUACUACCGAAACCAUGGAUGCGACCAUUAGGUCGCGUGAUAGGAGAGCGUUCUAAGGGCGGUGAAGCAAGAUCGUGAGGACUUGUGGAGCGCUUAGAAGUGAGAAUGCCGGUAUGAGUAGCGAAAGAUAGGUGAGAAUCCUAUCCACCGAAUGACUAAGGUUUCCUGGGGAAGGCUCGUCCUCCCAGGGUUAGUCGGGACCUAAGUCGAGGCCGAGAGGCGUAGACGAUGGAUAACAGGUUGAGAUUCCUGUACUAGUUAAGUGCGUUUGAGCAAUGGAGGGACGCAGGAGGCUAAGAUGUGCAUUCUGUUGGAUUAGAAUGUCCAAGCAGUAAGUCUUGUGAAGAGUCAAAUGCUUUUCACUUUAAGGACAAGCUGUGAUGGGGAGCGAAAUUUAGUAGCGAAGCGUCUGAUGUCACACUGCCGAGAAAAGCUUCUAGUGAGUACUUAACUACCCGUACCGCAAACCGACACAGGUAGUCGAGGAGAGAAUCCUAAGGUGAGCGAGUGAACUCUCGUUAAGGAACUCGGCAAAAUGACCCCGUAACUUCGGGAGAAGGGGUGCUGAUCGCAAGAUUAGCCGCAGUGAAUAGGCCCAGGCGACUGUUUAUCAAAAACACAGGUCUCUGCAAAAUCGUAAGAUGACGUAUAGGGGCUGACGCCUGCCCGGUGCUGGAAGGUUAAAAGGAUGGGUUAGCUUCGGCGAAGCUCAGAAUUGAAGCCCCAGUAAACGGCGGCCGUAACUAUAACGGUCCUAAGGUAGCGAAAUUCCUUGUCGGGUAAGUUCCGACCCGCACGAAAGGCGUAACGAUCUGGGCACUGUCUCAACGAGAGACUCGGUGAAAUUAUAUUGUCCGUGAAGAUGCGGACUACCCGCGACAGGACGGAAAGACCCCAUGGAGCUUUACUGUAGCUUGAUAUUGAGUGUUUGUACAGCUUGUACAGGAUAGGUAGGAGCCAUAGAAACCGGAACGCUAGUUUCGGUGGAGGCGUUGGUGGGAUACUACCCUCGCUGUAUGACCACUCUAACCCGCACCACUAAUCGUGGUGGGAGACAGUGUCAGGUGGGCAGUUUGACUGGGGCGGUCGCCUCCUAAAAAGUAACGGAGGCGCCCAAAGGUUCCCUCAGAAUGGUUGGAAAUCAUUCGCAGAGUGUAAAGGCACAAGGGAGCUUGACUGCGAGACAGACAGGUCGAGCAGGGACGAAAGUCGGGCUUAGUGAUCCGGUGGUACCGUAUGGAAGGGCCAUCGCUCAACGGAUAAAAGCUACCCUGGGGAUAACAGGCUUAUCUCCCCCAAGAGUCCACAUCGACGGGGAGGUUUGGCACCUCGAUGUCGGCUCAUCGCAUCCUGGGGCUGUAGUCGGUCCCAAGGGUUGGGCUGUUCGCCCAUUAAAGCGGUACGCGAGCUGGGUUCAGAACGUCGUGAGACAGUUCGGUCCCUAUCCGUCGCGGGCGUAGGAAAUUUGAGAGGACCUGUCCUUAGUACGAGAGGACCGGGAUGGACAUACCUCUGGUGUACCAGUUGUGCCGCCAGGCGCAUCGCUGGGUAGCUACGUAUGGAUGUGAUAAACGCUGAAAGCAUCUAAGUGUGAAACACACCUCGAGAUGAGAUUUCCCAUUCCUUUAUGGAAGUAAGACCCCUGAAAGAUGAUCAGGUAGAUAGGUUAGAAGUGGCAGUGCGGUGACGCAUGAAGCGGACUAAUACUAAUCGGUCGAGGACUUAACCAA
Molecule: ribosomal RNA, 2919 nt
Filed under: Lactiplantibacillus plantarum
Lineage: Bacteria; Bacillati; Bacillota; Bacilli; Lactobacillales; Lactobacillaceae
Description: Lactobacillus plantarum 23S ribosomal RNA
Rfam family: Bacterial large subunit ribosomal RNA
Source: RNAcentral